UACGAAGGGUGCAAACGUUGCUCGGAAUCAUUGGGCGUAAAGCGCACGUAGGCGGCCCAGCAAGUCGGGUGUGAAAGCCCUCGGCUUAACCGAGGAAGUGCAUUCGAAACUACUGAGCUUGAAUACUGGAGAGGAUCGCGGAAUUCCCGGUGUAGAGGUGAAAUUCGUAGAUAUCGGGAGGAACACCAGUGGCGAAGGCGGCGAUCUGGACAGAUAUUGACGCUGAGGUGCGAAAGCGUGGGGAGCAAACAGG
RNAcentral lists this ribosomal RNA (253 nucleotides) under uncultured bacterium. RNAcentral's name for it is "partial 16S ribosomal RNA". It matches the Rfam family "Bacterial small subunit ribosomal RNA", at positions 524 to 776 of the family's 1533-position model. The record is from RNAcentral.